Molecule: long non-coding RNA, 1074 nt
Organism: Osmia lignaria (orchard mason bee)
Lineage: Eukaryota; Metazoa; Arthropoda; Insecta; Hymenoptera; Megachilidae
Source: RefSeq, a predicted model, not a curated record
CUUCGUUCGUCUUGCACGUGUCUGCAACAGUAUUAAAGUUUCGAAGCACUUUGAAACUUCUAUCGAUGGCUGUGAUUGGCCGUCCCAUGUUGGCGUCCUAUCAUUUCGACCAAUCAGACACGUCGUUGGGUGAGCGAGUGCCUUGAUUUUUGACGCAGUACAGCAUUCCUCUUCGAAGCUUCGUUCGUCUUGCACGUGUCUGCAACAGUAUUAAAGUUUCGAAGCACUUUGAAACUUCUAUCGAUGGCUGUGAUUGGCCGUCCCAUGUUGGCGUCCUCUCAUUUCGACCAAUCAGACACGUCGUUGGGUGAGCGAGUGCCUUGAUUUUUGACGCAGUACAGCAUUCCUCUUCGAAGCUUCGUUCGUCUUGCACGUGUCUGCAACAGAUCUGUUCGUAUACUUCGUUAGGUAUCGGCCGGUAGCAGAAUGUACCGAACAUUGCCGAGCUUUGCCGAAGUGCCGACCGGUCUACGAUGGGAAGGAAGGUCUCGCCAUUGCUCUCUCGAGCGUCGAACUGGCAGGAGGUGUUGAGAGCAUGCUUCCGCAUAAAUAAUAGAUAUUUGAUAGAUUUUGAAAGGACGCCUCGACUCCUGAUAUGGGUUUGAAAUAGAAUGUCGUAAGAAUUUAAUAUUUUAAUUUAUUCUAAUCAAUUUUAACAACAGAAAACCACUACUUUAAUAAAAUUGUCUAUUAUAUUUAUUUAAUUAUGAUUUUCUAUCUAUAUAAUAUUCAUUGAAAUAAUUAUCAACAAUUAUUUAAAACAUUUCAUUAUUACAAUAUAAUCUAGGAUCAAUAUUCAACUUGAAUAAUAUUCCUGUUGGUUGAAAAUAUUUCACGAACACUCAUAUUUUCAUUUACAUGUAAUAACAGUAUUUCAUUAUCGAACGUUCAAUAAGAAGAAUGUUGGUUUUGUUUUGUAUAUUUCCACCCAUCCCCAACCUCCUCGCCAAUCUUUUUUUCCAGGAAUUGUUGUGGCCGCGCGCAAGGCGGUCGGUAGAGUCAGUGUUUGUACGCACGUAAUUCCAAUGUUUUGAUUUUGCCAAGGGUGAACUGGCCCUGAAUAGAGUUGCGUUU